Molecule: long non-coding RNA, 312 nt
Organism: Bombus huntii
Lineage: Eukaryota; Metazoa; Arthropoda; Insecta; Hymenoptera; Apidae
Exons: 2
Source: RefSeq, a predicted model, not a curated record
AUUGGUUUGUGGUGGAGUUUUUUUUAAUUGCUCUUGUAAAUCUUCUGCACAUACAUAACAAGGAUAAAACUUGGAAAAUGUGUGAAAGAACUUUGACAUAUCCAACUUUUGUUCAUCAGUUGGAUUAUCAGGGUAAUAUGCUGCCAUGGUGGAUCUUUCUUCUCUAUUUUCUCAGUUUCCUGACAUAAUAAAAUAUAUAUGUGAGAAUAAAUAAUUUAUUUCACAACAUAAAGUGUAAUACUAUUUUUCACCUUUUAGAAACUAAUCGGUAUUAGUUUUUAACAUUACUAUUAAAAAAAGAUAAUUUAUGUA